CAGCGCCACGAGUGGCAAUCAUGUUUAUUUGGCCUAAAGCGUCCGUAGCUGGUUAAGUAAAUCUCUUGUGAAAUCGUUUCGCUCAACGAAACGGCGUGCAGGAGAGACUGCUUGGCUAGAGACCGGGAGGAGUCAGAGGUAUGCUGGGGGGAGCGGUAAAAUGCUAUAAUCCCCGGUAGACCACCUGUGGCGAAGGCGUCUGACUAGAGCGGGUCUGACAGUGAGGGACGAAAGCCAGGGGAGCAAACCGGAUUAGAGACCCGAGUAGUCC
RNAcentral lists this ribosomal RNA (271 nucleotides) under uncultured archaeon. RNAcentral's name for it is "partial 16S ribosomal RNA". It matches the Rfam family "Archaeal small subunit ribosomal RNA", at positions 477 to 747 of the family's 1478-position model. The record is from RNAcentral.